UUCAGUUCUUACCUUUAUCUUUGUUAAGAGAAUUCAAUAUUGUUCUACAGUUUGCUCCAUGUGCUCCACGACAGGUUAGGGCCAUGACCUAGAAACAAGCGUCCUUAUUUCAUUAAAGAAGCAUUAUCUAAUCUGAAUGCACAUCUUUGCCUUUGGAAUGGUGAAGAUGUUUUAUUCUAAGAGGUUGAAUGUUAUGAAUUAAACCAUAUGCCUUUUGAAUUGAAGCACAUUAUGUCUCUAAUGCCUUGAACAGGCAACAACAGUAAUAAUAAUGCUCGGAGCAGAAAAAGUCCAAGGACCACAAUCUUUAAUGAUCUGAUGUUAAGGCAUUAAACUUCCAUUCUAAUGGAGACAAUAUACUAAUUUUUUAUAAUAAAUGCUCGAGCUUUAAGGUUCUUUGGUGAAAGGCUGAUGGUCAUUUGAGGUGGCUAAAUUAUGCUAAAACUAACCAACCAAGAAAAUGUGGAAACCAUUGCUCAUUAACUUGAAACUUAAUAAUAUGGGAAGAUUUUCAUUUGUCUUUUAGAUUUUUUCUGUGCAUUACCUUUUAAUUAUUAUGAUCAUCUAUGUAAGAAGGUAAUAACUUCUUGCGGAUGUUCUUAUUUUUCUUAAUUACAUUUGUAAUAGUCUUGAGUAGUUUAUGAAAUCUGCCCAAUUAGCAGAAUGGAUAUUGAUUAUUCAUAAAAGCCGAUGACAAUAGUUCGGCAUUGAGGCGUAAUUUGUUGUUAUUAUUGUUGUAGUUGUUAUAAUCUUCUGUCUAACAUUGAGUAGAUUUGGCAAGCUUAAUUCUUUCCUUUAUAAAGAUUUAUAACUUUCCCUGUCAGUUUACAGAGCUGAUGCACAAAAAUUUGAAGAAUGGGCUCGUACUCAAAAUGCCAAUACGCUAGUUGACUUCUCAUCCAGAGAUGGAGAAGUUGAAAACAUUCUGAAAGAUAUUGCACAGCGAGCUGGAACCAAGAAUAGUUUCUGCUACAGUCGACUAUUUGCGGUUGGCCUCUUUCGCCUACUUGAGUUGGCAAAUGUAACUGAUCCGACCAUCUUAGAAAAG
This 1048-nucleotide long non-coding RNA is filed under the name Nicotiana tabacum (common tobacco). Its description in RNAcentral is "long non-coding RNA (NTAB_LNC009081)". The record is from RNAcentral. Lineage: Eukaryota; Viridiplantae; Streptophyta; Magnoliopsida; Solanales; Solanaceae.